RNAcentral lists this ribosomal RNA (253 nucleotides) under uncultured bacterium. Its description in RNAcentral is "partial 16S ribosomal RNA". It matches the Rfam family "Bacterial small subunit ribosomal RNA", at positions 524 to 776 of the family's 1533-position model. The record is from RNAcentral.
UACAGAGGUCUCAAGCGUUGUUCGGAUUUAUUGGGCGUAAAGGGCGCGUAGGCGGCGAGGUAAGUCGGGUGUGAAAUCUCAGGGCUCAACCCUGAAACUGCACUUGAUACUGCUCUGCUUGAGGACUGGAGAGGAGACUGGAAUUCACGGUGUAGCAGUGAAAUGCGUAGAUAUCGUGAGGAAGACCAGUGGCGAAGGCGGGUCUCUGGACAGUUCCUGACGCUGAGGCGCGAAGGCCAGGGGAGCAAACGGG